RNAcentral lists this long non-coding RNA (882 nucleotides) under Salmo salar (Atlantic salmon). Its description in RNAcentral is "lncRNA (ENSSSAG00000120475.1)". Lineage: Eukaryota; Metazoa; Chordata; Actinopteri; Salmoniformes; Salmonidae. The record is from RNAcentral.
GGGGUUUUAGGCUGGGUUUCUGUACAGCACUUUGAGAUAUCAGCUGAUGUACGAAGGGCUAUAUAAAAAUAAAUUUGAUUUGAUUUGAUCCAUAAAGUUCCCCGCGGCGCCGGAAUCCACUAAAGCUGUAGACAGGGCAUGAGGGACAGUCAGCCAGAGUGAUGGGUACGACAAAGAGUCUAACAGGAAGAGCAGUAGAUGGAAUACUCACUCCUUGUCCAGGGGAUGUAACAUCACGUACCGUCUCUCAUCUCUAGUGGAUCCCGGAUUCUGAAGUAACGGACACCGCUAGCUUUUUUGCCCUCCCUGGCCAUAGUACAGACAGAGCCCCAGCUGUAUCCAUCUGCGUCGUUCCGCCGUGGGGAGGUGUGUGACCCGUACCUCCAUGGGUUCAGGCUCUGAUCCCGAACACUUGCCGAAGGAGGGAGAGAAGCGAUGAAGAUGCCGAAUCUCCCGGAGGAGGAUAUUCAGAUGGAUGGCCAUCGCAAUGAGUGCGUCCAGGGCCUCCUCACGCAGAGGACCUCCACACGCAGACCUCUUCUAAAUAACAUGCUGAGCGCCGGCUUAUUCCAUCCACUGGAAGCUGCUACUGUCAGGAAGAUAGUGUCUGGGACGCACAACAAAACUCCGCUAUUCGGAUAUAACGAUGGAUUAUUUUGGACCAAACCAACAUUUGUUAUUGAAGUAGCAGUCCUGGGAGUGCAUUCUGACGAAGACAACAAAAGUCCAACAGCUUUCCCAAUGCCUCCUGCACCUUCUGGACCACAAACGGAAUAUUCCUUCCUCUUUUCCAGAGCACCCCAUCAGCAAACAGGGAGAGGCCAAAACCAGGCCCGACAUCCUGGAACAUGUUAUUCAUCAUUAUAUUAAACAAAAUUGGAC